GUAGGGAAUAUUGGGCAAUGGAGGCAACUCUGACCCAGCCAUGCCGCGUGCAGGAUGACGGCCCUCUGGGUUGUAAACUGCUUUUAUACGGGAAGAAAAAAUACUACGUGUAGUAUACUGACGGUACCGUAAGAAUAAGGAUCGGCUAACUCCGUGCCAGCAGCCGCGGUAAUACGGAGGAUCCAAGCGUUGUCCGGAGUUAUUGGGUUUAAAGGGUGCGUAGGCGGAUCUUUAAGUCAGUGGUGAAAGCCUGCAGCUUAACUGUAGAAUUGCCAUUGAAACUGAAGAUCUUGAAUGUGGUUAAAGUAGGCGGAAUGUAUCAUGUAGCGGUGAAAUGCUUAGAUAUGAUACAGAACACCGAUAGCGAAGGCAGCUUGCUGAACCAUUAUUGACGCUGAGGCACGAAAGCGUGGGGAGCGAACAGGAUUAGAUACCCUAGUAGUCC
This 445-nucleotide ribosomal RNA is filed under the name uncultured bacterium. RNAcentral describes it as "partial 16S ribosomal RNA". It matches the Rfam family "Bacterial small subunit ribosomal RNA", at positions 354 to 796 of the family's 1533-position model. The record is from RNAcentral.